GACGUAGGGCGCGAGCGUUGUCCGGAUUUAUUGGGCGUAAAGAGCUCGUAGGCGGCUUGUUGCGUCGACCGUGAAAACCCGGGGCUCAACUUCGGGCUUGCGGUCGAUACGGGCGGGCUAGAGUUCGGUAGGGGAGACUGGAAUUCCUGGUGUAGCGGUGAAAUGCGCAGAUAUCAGGAGGAACACCGGUGGCGAAGGCGGGACUCUGGGCCGAUACUGACGCUGAGGAGCGAAAGCGUGGGGAGCAAACAGG
This 253-nucleotide ribosomal RNA is filed under the name uncultured bacterium. Its description in RNAcentral is "partial 16S ribosomal RNA". It matches the Rfam family "Bacterial small subunit ribosomal RNA", at positions 524 to 776 of the family's 1533-position model. The record is from RNAcentral.